This is a long non-coding RNA of Lontra canadensis (Northern American river otter), 197 nucleotides long. RefSeq lists it as uncharacterized. NCBI's taxonomy places the organism in Eukaryota, Metazoa, Chordata, Mammalia, Carnivora, Mustelidae. The transcript is spliced from 3 exons. The record is from RefSeq and is a predicted model, not a curated record.
GGCUAUCUGUAUUUUCCCUGUAGGCUUAAGUGUGAAGACUGAAUGGGGCUAUAAAAAGUCUAUGGUGUGGGGAGUGCCUGACAUCUGGACGGCUUCCCUCGAUGGAGGUAACUGGAUACUGACUCUGUGGGAGAGCAGCGCUGGAAAGAGCAUGCUCAGAGUCCUCCUUACGGCCCCAGUUGCCACCUACCUCUAGU